UGACAAACUAAAUGAUCAUGAAUUAGCCAA
Molecule: non-coding RNA, 30 nt
Filed under: Mus musculus (house mouse)
Lineage: Eukaryota; Metazoa; Chordata; Mammalia; Rodentia; Muridae
Source: RNAcentral